This 497-nucleotide ribosomal RNA is filed under the name uncultured bacterium. RNAcentral describes it as "partial 16S ribosomal RNA". It matches the Rfam family "Bacterial small subunit ribosomal RNA", at positions 28 to 507 of the family's 1533-position model. The record is from RNAcentral.
GAUGAACGCUGGCGGCGUGCCUAAUACAUGCAAGUCGAGCGAACAGACGAUGAGCUUGCUCCUCUGACGUUAGCGGCGGACGGGUGAGUAACACGUGGAUAACCUACCUAUAAGACUGGGAUAACUUCGGGAAACCGGAGCUAAUACCGGAUAAUAUAUUGAACCGCAUGGUUCAAUAGUGAAAGACGGUUUUGCUGUCACUUAUAGAUGGAUCCGCGCCGCAUUAGCUAGUUGGUAAGGUAACGGCUUACCAAGGCGACGAUGCGUAGCCGACCUGAGAGGGUGAUCGGCCACACUGGAACUGAGACACGGUCCAGACUCCUACGGGAGGCAGCAGUAGGGAAUCUUCCGCAAAGGGCGAAAGCCUGACGGAGCAACGCCGCGUGAGUGAUGAAGGUCUUCGGAUCGUAAAACUCUGUUAUUAGGGAAGAACAAAUGUGUAAGUAACUAUGCACGUCUUGACGGUACCUAAUCAGAAAGCCACGGCUAACUACGUG